Molecule: ribosomal RNA, 473 nt
Filed under: uncultured bacterium
Lineage: Bacteria
Description: SSU rRNA
Rfam family: Bacterial small subunit ribosomal RNA
Source: RNAcentral
GGGACGAACGCUGGCGGCGCGCUUCAUACAUGCAAGUCGAACGAGAAGCCCGGGCUUGCCCGGGUGGACAGUGGCGAACGGGUGAGUAACACGUGAGCAACCUGCCCCGAAGACUGGGAUAACACCGGGAAACCGGUGCUAAUACCGGAUGCCCUCACCACACCGCAUGACGUGGUGAGGAAAUGGAUUCCGCUUCGGGAUGGGCUCGCGGUCUAUCAGCUUGUUGGUGGGGUAACGGCCUACCAAGGCGACGACGGAUAGCUGGUCUGAGAGGAUGUCCAGCCACACUGGGACUGAGACACGGCCCAGACUCCUACGGGAGGCAGCAGUAGGGAAUCUUGCGCAAUGGGCGAAAGCCUGACGCAGCGACGCCGCGUGUGGGAUGAAUGUCUUCGGAUUGUAAACCACUUUCAGCAGGGACGAAAUUGACGGUACCUGCAGAAGAGCCCGGCCAACUACGUGCCAGCAGCCGC